CCUACGGGGGGCAGCAGUGAGGAAUAUUGGUCAAUGGACGAGAGUCUGAACCAGCCAAGUAGCGUGAAGGAUGACUGCCCUAUGGGUUGUAAACUUCUUUUAUAUGGGAAUAAAAUGUUCCACGUGUGGGAUUUUGUAUGUACCAUAUGAAUAAGGAUCGGCUAACUCCGUGCCAGCAGCCGCGGUAAUACGGAGGAUCCGAGCGUUAUCCGGAUUUAUUGGGUUUAAAGGGAGCGUAGGUGGAUUGUUAAGUCAGUUGUGAAAGUGUGCGGCUCAACCGUAAAAUUGCCGUUGAAACUGGCAGUCUUGAGUACAGUAGAGGUGGGCGGAAUGCGUGGUGUAGCGGUGAAAUGCUUAGAUAUCACGAAGAACUCCGAUUGCGAAGGCAGUUCACUGGACUGCAACUGACACUGAGGCUCGAAAGUGUGGGUAUCAAACAGGAUUAGAUACCCGAGUAGUC
Molecule: ribosomal RNA, 460 nt
Filed under: uncultured bacterium
Lineage: Bacteria
Description: partial 16S ribosomal RNA
Rfam family: Bacterial small subunit ribosomal RNA
Source: RNAcentral